UACGUAGGGUGCAAGCGUUAAUCGGAAUUACUGGGCGUAAAGCGUGCGCAGGCGGUUUUGUAAGUCUGAUGUGAAAUCCCCGGGCUCAACCGGGGAAUUGCAUUGGAGACUGCAAGGCUAGAAUCUGGCAGAGGGGGGUAGAAUUCCACGUGUAGCAGUGAAAUGCGUAGAGAUGUGGAGGAACACCGAUGGCGAAGGCAGCCCCCUGGGUCAAGAUUGACGCUCAUGCACGAAAGCGUGGGGAGCAAACAGG
This 253-nucleotide ribosomal RNA is filed under the name uncultured bacterium. RNAcentral's name for it is "partial 16S ribosomal RNA". It matches the Rfam family "Bacterial small subunit ribosomal RNA", at positions 524 to 776 of the family's 1533-position model. The record is from RNAcentral.